This 727-nucleotide long non-coding RNA is filed under the name Ananas comosus (pineapple). Its description in RNAcentral is "long non-coding RNA (ACOM_LNC002367)". Lineage: Eukaryota; Viridiplantae; Streptophyta; Magnoliopsida; Poales; Bromeliaceae. The record is from RNAcentral.
UAAUAUAAAAAAUGUGCACUUCACCCCCUACAGUUAGGGUUCCGUUAAAAAAUAUAUUUUUAUGCCGAAAAUACCCCUCCGCCAUCUCCCUGUUGCUUCGCCUCCCUCCGGCUCGCCACCUCGCCGCCGCCUCGCCGCCUAGCCGCCUCGCCGCCUCGCCGUCCUCCACUGCCUCGCCCUCACCCACAUCCCCUUCGCCGUCCUCCGCCGCCUCGCCUUCGCCUUCUUUGCCCUUCUCCUACUGUCGCCCACCUCGGUUUUCUCCUACUGUCGCCCACCUCAGUUUUCUCCUACUGUUGCCGAAAUCGAGGGCGUCGAGGGUGCAGGAGGAGAAGGGGAGCAGGUGGAGAAGAAAAUGGAGAGAAAUCGCGGCCAAUUGAGGUGGGAAUCGCGGCCGUGCGAAGGGGCGGCUGAGGAAGAUGGGGAAGAAGACGACAAUGGCGAGGGGCAAAAUGGUCAUUUUACACACCGUAACCCCCCCUAUGAACAUUUUUCAUUUUACAAGGGGGGCAAAGUGUAGGUUUUUAAAUGUCAGGGGGGGAAAGUGAAAAAGCGGGUUAUUACAGGAGAAUUUUCUGUAAUUUGGCCUUUUCUUUAAGUGGAUUCCUCCCGCCCUAAACACUGCCAUUUGGAUUCAAAUUCUCAAUUAAAAUUAAAAUUAAAAUUUUAAAUUAAUAAUUUGAAUUUAAAUAUACAAUUUUAAACUGAAUUAGAAAUUUGAAUUGAA